Molecule: ribosomal RNA, 472 nt
Filed under: Streptococcus sanguinis
Lineage: Bacteria; Bacillati; Bacillota; Bacilli; Lactobacillales; Streptococcaceae
Description: bacterial SSU rRNA
Rfam family: Bacterial small subunit ribosomal RNA
Source: RNAcentral
GACGAACGCUGGCGGCGUGCCUAAUACAUGCAAGUAGAACGCUGAAGAGAGGAGCUUGCUCUUCUUGGAUGAGUUGCGAACGGGUGAGUAACGCGUAGGUAACCUGCCUGGUAGCGGGGGAUAACUAUUGGAAACGAUAGCUAAUACCGCAUGAUAUUAAUUGUCGCAUGAUAAUUAAUUGAAAGAUGCAAUUGCAUCACUACCAGAUGGACCUGCGUUGUAUUAGCUAGUUGGUGAGGUAACGGCUCACCAAGGCGACGAUACAUAGCCGACCUGAGAGGGUGAUCGGCCACACUGGGACUGAGACACGGCCCAGACUCCUACGGGAGGCAGCAGUAGGGAAUCUUCGGCAAUGGGGGGAACCCUGACCGAGCAACGCCGCGUGAGUGAAGAAGGUUUUCGGAUCGUAAAGCUCUGUUGUAAGAGAAGAACGGGUGUGAGAGUGGAAAGUUCACACUGUGACGGUAUCUUA